This 790-nucleotide ribosomal RNA is filed under the name uncultured Rubrobacter sp. RNAcentral's name for it is "bacterial SSU rRNA". It matches the Rfam family "Bacterial small subunit ribosomal RNA", at positions 8 to 796 of the family's 1533-position model. Lineage: Bacteria; Bacillati; Actinomycetota; Rubrobacteria; Rubrobacterales; Rubrobacteraceae. The record is from RNAcentral.
AGAGUUUGAUCAUGGCUCAGGACGAACGCUGACGGUGUGCUUUAGGCAUGCAAGUCGAACGAGAAAGCCCUUCGGGGUGAGUAAAGUGGCGAACGGGUGAGUAACACGUGGGCAACCUGCCCCUCGCUCUGGGACAACCCGGGGAAACUCGGGCUAAUACCGGAUACGACCUCUGCGGGCAUCUGCGGAGGUGGAAAGUUUUUCGGCGAGGGAUGGGCCCGCGGUGCAUUAGCUAGUUGGUGGGGUAACGGCCCACCAAGGCGACGAUGCGUAGCUGGUCUGAGAGGAUGAUCAGCCACACUGGGACUGAGACACGGCCCAGACUCCUACGGGAGGCAGCAGCCAGGAAUCUUGGGCAAUGGGCGAAAGCCUGACCCAGCAACACCGUGUGGGUGAUGAAGGCCUUCGGGUCGUAAAGCCCUGUUGAUAGGGACGAAGGGCGAAGGGUUAAUAGCCUGGAGCUUGACGGUACCUUUCGAGGAAGCCCCGGCUAACUACGUGCCAGCAGCCGCGGUAAUACGUAGGGGGCGAGCGUUGUCCGGAAUUAUUGGGCGUAAAGAGCGUGUAGGCGGUUCGGUAAGUCUGCCGUGAAAACCUGAGGCUCAACCUCGGGCGUGCGGUGGAUACUGCCGGGCUAGAGGACGGUAGAGGCGAGUGGAAUUCCCGGUGUAGCGGUGAAAUGCGCAGAUAUCGGGAGGAACACCAGUAGCGAAGGCGGCUCGCUGGGCCGUUCCUGACGCUGAGACGCGAAAGCUAGGGGAGCGAACAGGAUUAGAUACCCUGGUAGUCC